UCACAGAAAUCUGCUUCUGCCUCCCAAGUACUGGAAUUAAAGGUGUGUACCUUGGGCACGCGCGUCCACGGAGGCUCGGCCUGUGAGCGUUCUGGAUCCCGCUGCAAGAUGAGCCUGGGACCAUGACAGGUGAAAUGGGUUACGCAAGCUGCACAGAUAAUUAAGUAGCAGAGAUUAGAACUCAGGUUUCCUGCCUCCCAAGAUUGUUAAACAUGAGCCUGCGGAAGCAAACCCCUAGGGACUUCUUAAAGAAAAUCAUCGGGCGACCAGUUGUGGUGAAAUUAAAUUCUGGUGUGGAUUAUCGAGGGAUCCUGGCCUGCCUGGAUGGCUACAUGAAUAUAGCCCUGGAACAGACAGAGGAGUAUGUAAAUGGACAGCUGAAGAAUAAGUAUGGAGAUGCGUUCAUCCGAGGAAACAAUGUUCUGUACAUAAGUACACAGAAGAGGCAGAUGUGAAGACACCAGGAGGCACUGCUCUUCAAAGAUGGAUAGAUGAAGUGGUUUUGGUUCUCUUACGGUCUUAGUUGGCCUGUUUUCAUGGUGGUUGGUGGGGUUUGUUUGUUUGUUUGUUUAAUUGACAAUGGAAUAAGAUAGAGGUAUUACAUUACAGAUUGACUCUUUUAAAAAAAAAAGGUGUGUACCUCCAUACCCAGCAAGAAUUUAAGUUUUUUUUUUAAAAAGGAUCAUCAUAAAUGAUUCACAUAAACAGCAUAAACAGAAAUUUUUAUUUUGUUGAUAUAAAACAUCUACCUAUGUUUCCGUAAUAAAAUGUGAUAUAUACCUAAAAUACCGGAAGUAAAUUAUUAUUAUUAUUAUUAUUAUUAUUAUUACAGCAUUGAUAUUUAGCUUGGGGAUGUAAGUCAGGUAGUAAAAUAUACUUGCCUAGCAUAAACAGAGCCCUAGGUUUGACCUCCAAUGUCACGUAAAUGUAGGAUGCAUUAGAUACUUUAUUUAAAAGAUUAAAAAUGAAAGCAAAGCAGUUUUUGUGUUUAAAACUUUGUCAUUAGAUUUUUAUAUAAAUUUUUGGUAUGAUAGUAAAAUCAUACCAUAAGAAUUUGAAACAACUCUUAGCAUAUUAAAUAUUUAUAUUAUAACUUCAGAUUUUACAUAUAUCAAUUAUUUCAAGUGAUAGAGUACUGGGGCUUAAACUGAGGAUCGAAAGAGGCAAGUAUUUCACCAUUGACCUACAUCCCAGCCCUAAUUUGUAAUAACUUUUAGAAGACUUUUUAGAGUUUAAUGAAAAUGAAGCCACAACAU
Mus caroli (Ryukyu mouse) is the source of this 1256-nucleotide non-coding RNA. The record is from RefSeq and is a predicted model, not a curated record. NCBI's taxonomy places the organism in Eukaryota, Metazoa, Chordata, Mammalia, Rodentia, Muridae.